GAUCUUAGUCUUACUAUUAGCUGUCUUUUGACUUACACAUGCAAGUAUCCGCACAACCGUGAGAACGCCCUUUACCCUCUACCAGGCUAAGGAGCAGGCAUCAGGCACAGAAUUCUAGCCCACAACACCUAGUUACGCCACGCCCCCAAGGGUCAUUCAGCAGUGAUAGACAUUGUUUCAUAAGCGUUAAGCUUGACUCAGUUAAAAAGAGCAGAGCCGGCCAAUACGGUGCCAGCCGCCGCGGUUACACCAAUAGGCUCAAGUUAAUAAACACUCGGCAUUUAAGCGUGGUUAAAAAAGUUAUACACAUAGAGUAAAACACACACUUAGCAGUAUAAAGCUUGCUGUUUGGAACAUUUACUACACGUAACUCUAACAACCUUUGAACCCACGACAACUAGAUAAACAAACUGGGAUCAGAUACCCCACUAUGCCUAGUCGUAAAAUACUGUCACGCCAGGGAACUACGAGCCUAGCUUAAAACCUAAAAGAUUUGACGGUGUCCCACCCACCUAGAGGAGCCUGUCCUACAAUCGAUAAUCCCCGCUUUACCUUACCAUCCCUUGCUUAGUUUGUAUACCUCCGUCGAAAGCCUACCACAUAAGUGUAAGUAGACUAAGGGGUCUUUUUAACCACCACGUCAGGUCAAGGUGCAACUAAUGGGGUGGCCGCGAGAUGGGCUACAAUUUCUAUGAUAGAACAGACGGAAAGCUAAAUGAAAAUUCUGCUUAAAGGUGGAUUUAGCAGUAAAAAGAGACUAGAGCCCCCCUUUUAACCAGGCACUGGGACAUGCACACACCGCCCGUCACCCUCUUCGAUAACAAAGUCCUCGCGAUAUUUUACUUAGAAGAGACAAGUCGUAACAUGGUAAGUGUACCGGAAGGUGCACUUAGUUCAACAAAAUGUAGCUUAACUAACAGCACUUCGCUUACACCGAACAGAUGUUUAAUAAUCUAAACCAUUUUGAGCCUAAAAUCUAGCCCAACACACCCCAUGCACAGCUUACACCCUUCCCACAAAACAAAACAUUCAGUUUAUCUAGUAGAGGUGAUCGAAAAACUUUUUGGAGCUUAAGACCAAGUACCGCAAGGGAAUGAUGAAAUAAAGAUGAAACAGACUUAAAGCCCCUAGAAGCAAAGAGUCUCCUUGUACCUUUUGUAUUAUGGCUUAACUAGUCAAAUGGAGCAAAAUAAACUUUUAGUUCUACAUCCCGAAACUAAGCGAGCUACUUCGAAAUAGCCUAAUAGGGCCAACCCGUCCCUGUCGCAAAAGGGUGGGAAAAUUUUCAAGUAGCGGCGAUAAACCUACCGAGCUCAGAGAUAGCUGGUUGUUUAGGAAAAGAAUUUUAGUUCAACUUCAAGCUUUUAUAUUGCCUAAAACAACAACCUAAGCUUGAAAGCUAUUCAAAUAAGGCACAGCUUAUUUGAAACAGGGUACAACCUCAAAACUAGGGUAAAAUCCCCAGCACUAACAAAAGUGGGCCUAAGGGCAGCCAUCUUUUAAAAAGCGUUAAAGCUUACUUCCACGUGCAAUUAAUCCCACUAACAACAUUCAACCCUCAACCAGUACUAAACAAUUUUAUACGCCUAUAAAAUAUCUUCUGUUAAGACUAGUAACAAGAAAUUGCCUUUCUCCUAAAUAUACGCUUAAACCAACUUUGACCGCCUACUGGUAUUUAACGCCAAUGCUUUACAUAUAGUAAACCUGUCUCGCAAACCCUAUAACCCCCAUAGCGUUACUCUAACACUAGCAUAUUACAGGAAAGAUUAAAAGAGAGCGAAGGAACUCGGCAAAUCUCAGCCCCGCCUGUUUACCAAAAACAUCGCCUCCUGCUCUAAUCUAUAGGAGGUCCAGCCUGCCCGGUGACAAAGUUUAACGGCCUCGGUACCCUGACCGCGCGAAGGUAGCAUAAUCACUUGUUCUUUAAAUAAGGACCUGUAUCAACGGCAUCACGAGGGCUAAACUGUCUCCCCUCUCUAAUCAGUGAACCUGAUCUCUUCGUGAAGAAGCGAAGAUACACAUAUAAGACGAGAAGACCCCAUGGAGCUUAAAACCAAAUAACAACCUUUUGUACACAGACCCUGACAGACAAAAUACCUGUUAGCUAGUUUUUGGCUGGGGCAUCCAAGGAGUACAACACAACCUCCCUGACACCUAUCUUAGAGCCACAACUCCAAGAAGCAGAAAACUGAUGUAAAAUGACCCGAUACUCAAUACCUGAUAAUCGAUCAACGAACCAAGUUACCCUGGGGAUAACAGCGCAAUCCAUUUCAAGAGCCCCUAUCGACAAAUGGGUUUACGACCUCGAUGUUGGAUCAGGGCAUCCCAGUGGUGCAGCCGCUACUAAAGGUU
RNAcentral lists this non-coding RNA (2352 nucleotides) under Phrynobatrachus graueri (Rugege river frog). Its description in RNAcentral is "partial contains 12S ribosomal RNA, tRNA-Val, and 16S ribosomal RNA". The stretch from base 1996 to 2352 matches the Rfam family "Bacterial large subunit ribosomal RNA", at positions 2048 to 2573 of the family's 2925-position model. Lineage: Eukaryota; Metazoa; Chordata; Amphibia; Anura; Phrynobatrachidae. The record is from RNAcentral.